GCAGGACUCCUUGUAGGUUCCGGAAUCAGGAUGCCGUCGUCUUGGGGUGGUUAUUCAGCUGGCAGUAGAGGGUGGGGCUGGUGAGCUCUCGGACAGGUGCCUGUCUCUGUCUGCCCGUGCCCCGAGGGGCCCGCGCAGGCCUGCGUGGGCAGCGGCUGCCUAGCGGAGGGCUGAGCUCUGGACACGUCCAUUCGGAGGGGUUGCGUCUUCCUGACCAGGAGGGACCCUGUGACUGGAGGAAGCAGGACAGGGUGAUGACACAGUGGCCGAGGCUCACUCUGCUGCUGGACCACGUGCUUGUGCUCUCACGGGCGUCAGUCAUCUCCCAGCUUUAAUUUCUAAUACGAUACAGCAAAGCCAAGGUAGCAAGGAGCCCAUCUCCUGGGAGCAGCUGACGGAGGGACAUUCCACAGCUGAACUUGAACUUCAGCGGGUGCGUGAACCAAGCAUGUCAACUUCUCCAAGUGCCUCAGCCAAGGGGCUGAAAGCAAAAGGCGGAGACCAUGCCGGUGAAAGGUGACGAGGCCUGGUGCCCUCCAAAGAAAUGCACUUGAGAGCCUGCCCCAAACCCAGGAAGAAGGCCCCAGGCCUCCUCGACCUUCACUGUCUGCAAUAACCUUGCACUUCAGGGAGCUGAACGGGCCUGGUGCCAGGAGCUAAUUGGGAGCAACCGCUGGCCCCACAUGAGGACUUUAUAAGCAACUCUAGGCUUAUGAAAACCAAAAGCAUGUUUUUGCUCCAGUAGCGUUUGCUGGGAUCCAGAAACAGUCACACCAAGAGACUAAGAGAUGGACUCUCUGGAGGGCUGCAUUCGGGGUGACCGGAGGCUGGCUUGGCCUUGGUUUCCCAGGACUCUUGAAUUCGGUGCUGAAAGUCCUGCAUCCUGGAAACCCUCUCAGUCUGGUCACACCCCUGGGCCUGGCGGCUGGGAUCUCAGGA
Molecule: long non-coding RNA, 939 nt
Filed under: Sus scrofa (pig)
Lineage: Eukaryota; Metazoa; Chordata; Mammalia; Artiodactyla; Suidae
Description: lncRNA (ENSSSCG00025019519.1)
Source: RNAcentral